UGAAUACGAGACGCUAAGGCGUCGAAGUAGUGUAUGUCAUACUUCCAAGAAAAGCUUGCACUGUCAUAAAUAGAAAAUGCCUGUACCAUAACCGACACAGGUGGGUAGGUAGAGUAUACUAAGGGGCGCGAGAUAACUCUCUCUAAGGAACUCGGCAAAAUAACUCCGUAACUUCGGGAGAAGGAGUGCCUUAUUCUUAAGGUUGCAAUAACAAGAUCCAAGCAACUGUUUAUCAAAAACACAGGUCUCCGCUAAGUCGCAAGACGAUGUAUGGGGGCUGACGCCUGCCCAGUGCCAGAAGGUUAAAGAAGUUGGUUAGCCUUUGCGAAGCUGAUAACUGAAGCCCUGGUGAACGGCGGCCGUAACGAUAACGGUCCUAAGGUAGCGAAAUUCCUUGUCGGGUAAGUUCCGACCCGCACGAAAGGCGUAAUGAUUUGGAUACUGUCUCGGAGAGGGGCUCGGUGAAAUAGACUUGUCUGUGAAGAUGCGGACUACCUGCACCAGGACAGAAAGACCCUAUGAAGCUUUACUGUAACUUGAAAUUGAAAUUGGACUUUAUUCGCGCAGUAUAGGUGGGAGGCGUUGAUUGUAAUCUUGCGGGAUUAUUGGAGCCAUCAGUGAGAUACCACUCUUGUAAUGUUAGAUUUCUAACUUUGUAUCAUUAUCUGGUCAAAGAACAAUUUCAGGCGGGCAGUUUGACUGGGGCGGUCGCCUCCUAAACGGUAACGGAGGCGUACAAAGGUUUCCUCUGAACGGUUAGAAAUCGUAUCUAGAGUGUAAAGGCAUAAGGAAGCUUGACUGUGAGACCUACAAGUCGAGCAGGGACGAAAGUCGGUCUUAGUGAUCUGACGGUACUGAGUGGAAAGGCCGUCACUCAACGGAUAAAAGUUACUCUAGGAUAACAGGCUGAUCUCCCCCAAGAGUUCACAUCGACGGGGAGGUUUGGCACCUCGAUGUCGGCUCAUCGCAUCCUGGGGCGGUAGUACGUCCCAAGGGUUGGGCUGUUCGCCCAUGAAAGCGGUACGCGAGCUGGGUUCAGAACGUCGUGAGACAGUUCGGUCCAUAUCCGGUGUAGGCGUUAGAAUAUUGAGAGGAGCCUUCUUUAGUACGAGAGGACCGAGAAGGACAUACCUCUGGUGUACCAGUUAUCGUGCCAACGGUAAACGCUGGGUAGCUAUGUAUGGAGUGGAUAACCGCUGAAAGCAUCUAAGUGGGAAGCCCACCUCAAGAUAAGUAUUCUCA
This 1242-nucleotide ribosomal RNA is filed under the name metagenome. Its description in RNAcentral is "bacterial LSU rRNA". It matches the Rfam family "Bacterial large subunit ribosomal RNA", at positions 1564 to 2816 of the family's 2925-position model. The record is from RNAcentral.